RNAcentral lists this ribosomal RNA (496 nucleotides) under uncultured bacterium. Its description in RNAcentral is "partial 16S ribosomal RNA". It matches the Rfam family "Bacterial small subunit ribosomal RNA", at positions 29 to 507 of the family's 1533-position model. The record is from RNAcentral.
AUGAACGCUGGCGGCGUGCCUAAUCCAUGCAAGUCGUGCGAACAGACGAGGAGCUUGCUCCUCUGACGUUAGCGGCGGACGGGUGAGUAACACGUGGAUAACCUACCUAUAAGACUGGGAUAACUUCGGGAAACCGGAGCUAAUACCGGAUAAUAUAUUGAACCGCAUGGUUCAAUAGUGAAAGACGGUUUUGCUGUCACUUAUAGAUGGAUCCGCGCCGCAUUAGCUAGUUGGUAAGGUAACGGCUUACCAAGGCAACGAUGCGUAGCCGACCUGAGAGGGUGAUCGGCCACACUGGAACUGAGACACGGUCCAGACUCCUACGGGAGGCAGCAGUAGGGAAUCUUCCGCAAUGGGCGAAAGCCUGACGGAGCAACGCCGCGUGAGUGAUGAAGGUCUUCGGAUCGUAAAACUCUGUUAUUAGGGAAGAACAAAUGUGUAAGUAACUAUGCACGUCUUGACGGUACCUAAUCAGAAAGCCACGGCUAACUACGUG